Molecule: ribosomal RNA, 551 nt
Filed under: Breviceps mossambicus (Mozambique rain frog)
Lineage: Eukaryota; Metazoa; Chordata; Amphibia; Anura; Brevicipitidae
Description: partial 16S ribosomal RNA
Rfam family: Bacterial large subunit ribosomal RNA
Source: RNAcentral
CGCCUCUUGAUCAAAAAUAAGAGGUCCAGCCUGCCCAAUGAUUAUUUUAAUGGCCGCGGUACCCUAACCGUGCAAAGGUAGCAUAAUCACUUGUCUACUAAAUAUAGACUUGUAUGAAUGGCAUCACGAGGGCCACACUGUCUCCCCAUUUUAAUCAGUAAAACUGAUCUCCCCGUGAAGAAGCGGGGAUUUACCUAUAAGACGAGAAGACCCCAUGGAGCUUCAAACUAACAGUCAACUGCCAAACCACACACCAUAAAACACCGCAACAAUGACUCAAAGUUUUAGGUUGGGGCGACCACGGAGUAUAACAAAACCUCCAUGAUGAACGAACAUAAAUUCUUACCCAAGAACCACACCACAAAGGACCAUCAAUAUGACACCCAUUGACCCAAAUAUUUGAUCAACGAACUUAGUUACCCUGGGGAUAACAGCGCAAUCCAUUUCUAGAGCCCAUAUCGACAAAUGGGUUUACGACCUCGAUGUUGGAUCAGGGUACCCAAGUGGUGCAACCGCUACUAAAGGUUCGUUUGKUCAACGAUUAAAACCCU